This is an RNA transcript of Coffea eugenioides, 3954 nucleotides long. RefSeq lists it as uncharacterized. The record is from RefSeq and is a predicted model, not a curated record. The transcript is spliced from 6 exons. Lineage: Eukaryota; Viridiplantae; Streptophyta; Magnoliopsida; Gentianales; Rubiaceae.
GCCAGUCUUCCUACGUCAAUCCCAACAACUCUCACCCCACCAUCCCAUCACCUUGCUUCUUAACCCUUCAGGAGUCACCACCACUCCAAAUUAUUUCCUCUAGCCACUUUCUCCCCUCCCAUUAACCAAUUCAAUUAGGACUUUACCCAACCAAAAUCUGAUCUGCUAAUUGAAUAAUUCUGCCAUCCAAGAUAAAGGAAAGCCCAUCAAUCUUUGCCCACAAUCAGACAACAAUUGUUUUGUAAAUUAGAAUCUGGGUUUUGUUUAAUAAUGGGCGGGGCAGGAGGAAACGUCGGGGCAGAGCAGCCGGGGGUGGCGGAGCCGCAGUAUGCCGCGGCGAAGAUAUCGGUUUGGUGGGAUAUAGAGAAUUGUCAUGUGCCUAAAGGAUGCGAACCCCACAUGAUCGCUCAGAAUAUAAGCUCUGCCUUAGUCAAGAUGAAUUAUUGUGGGCCGGUUUCGAUAUCUGCUUAUGGUGAUACUACUAGAAUUGGAUCUUCUAUCCAGCAGGCUCUAAAUAGUACUGGGAUUGCUCUCAAUCACGUCCCUGCAGGGGUUAAAGAUGCAAGUGAUAAGAAGAUACUGGUCGACAUGUUAUUCUGGGCAGUUGACAAUCCUGCACCUGCCAAUUAUUUGUUGAUUUCUGGUGAUCGAGAUUUUUCGAACGCACUUCACCAAUUGCGCAUGCGGAGAUAUAAUAUACUUUUGGCACAACCUCAAAAAGCAUCUGUUCCUCUUCUAGCUGCAGCAAAAAGUGUAUGGCUCUGGACAAGUCUUGUGGCUGGAGGACCUCCACUUACUAGUAGUGAAGCAUCCCAAUUUGUGAAUAACAGCUUUGGGUUUUCUUCCAAUGGUGACAAAUUACAUGUUCCAGUUUCUGAUUCGAUUCAGAUAAAUCAACCCCCAGAUUCAUUUUAUGAUAGUCCCCAUUUGGGAAAUCAGAGGUUCCCAAAUAUGGGAAGGGGAACAGAUAUAAAAAACAAAGGAAGACAAAUUCGGAGAAACUUGACUCAACCAAUUAUGCCAAGAACUUCAAGCACACAAGAUGACCUUGACAAUGGAAACCCGCAAAGAUCAGGAUAUGGGCUUCCUAAACACUUUAAUGAUUUGCAUGAGUUUUCUGCUACUCAGAAUCCCAAGGUUCCAUUUAGUGGACCCUCCCCUAGUUUGAUUAAUCCAGAUCCUUUUCCAAAUAAUAUCAGUAUUCCUCAUAGCUCUCAACAAAUUCACUAUCCUAUUCCAGUUAGGCCGAACAACCUUCCUUCUCAGCUUGCAUUGCCUCCUGGUAACUUUUUACCGCCUAACUCUCAUAUCCAGUAUCCUUCACAUACAAUGCCUCCUGGUCCUCCCCGACCUGAUGCAUUGAGCUUUACCUCGGGACCCUUUACAUCUGUGCCUGAUAUUGGUAAGAUAAACAUUUCUGAAUACCCUAACAACCACAAGCCUUCUACUUGGAAUGGAGGAGAGCUUAGACAAACAUCUAUGACAGAACCUACCAACUAUGCCAAUUCAUACAGGCCUCAGAAAGGGCAAAAUUUGCAGAAGAAACCACCGGCGCCCCAUGAAUUAGUUGGAAAUAGGUAUCCAAGCCCUAGUCAACAGAUUCCACCACCACCUGCCCCAGAAGUUGGUAACACUAGUGUCUCUAUAUCUGAGAGUGGUGUUUGGGGAACUCCAGGAUGUCCUAAACCUUCUGAAUAUAUUCAAGGCCUUAUGGGGGUAGUUUUACUUGCAUUGAACACACUAAAAAAUGAGAAGCUUUUGCCUACUGAAGAGCACAUUUCCAAUUGCAUUCGUUAUGGAGAUCCCAAACAUCGCAACACUGAUGUUAAGAAGGCUCUUGAGUGUGCUGUUGAGCAGCAGCUGGUAGUUAAGCAGACCUUAGGUGCUGUGCAGCUGUAUGUUGGUAAGAAUGAGAGACUAUGGAACUGUAUAAACCUCGGGGAUACUAAUAUAAAGCAAUAUCCAAAAACAACUUGGGAUGAAAUCCAGAAAUUUCUGUCAUCAUCUUCUGGACGAACUGCAAUACUAGCUACUCAGUGCAGGUAUGAAGCAGCUACUGUCAUAAAGAGAACAUGCUUAAAAGAUCUUACAUUGGGAGAAAUUCUGCAGAUCUUAAACAUGGUAAUAUACAUGAAAAGAUGGAUUAUGCAUCAUCAAUCAGGAUGGCAACCGAUUAAGAUUGUUCUUGCAGAGACCUACCCUGAAACAGGGGUGGCCGCUGCUUCAUAAUUUCAUGUUAAACUAGUUAUGGGAGGGGAUAGAGCCUGAGGAUGGUGAUGGAUUUAUGUCUUCAAAAUGGUGGUUUGGAGUUAUAAAUAGGCUCUAUGUGGUCCACCUCCCACCUUCCUAAAGAAUACUUGGAUGUUUUGAGUAGCUGCGUUUAAGUUUAAUUAAAGGAUAGACGACUGGGUCGAUGUUUAGUUCAUAUCUGGACAUGGUUUGCGUGUUUCUGUAGAUUUUGGGACAAUGGUAGCUCUGGUUGGCCAGAGUUUAACGAAUUCACGCAGGAUGUAAAUUUGGGAAAAUUGGAAACCAGUUGUGAGCUGGGCUGGUGUCGGUGCCAGGUCCUGAUUAUGACACUUCAGUGGAUACUGUCAAGUUGUUUUUCGGAUGCUUCUUUGUUGUAUACGUUCUUUGCGGGGAUGUUUCUCAUCAACUCAUGCUCUAUUACAAAUGUACUGAAUUUUGAAGGAAGUUGCUAGAUGGGAAAGUUGUAGGAGCUCUUUGGAAAGAGAUUCUUUUGGAAAGUCAUCUGUACUUGGAACGUCUGGAAAUUACUGUUGUACAAGGCAUAAAGGCUUUUGGUUCAUUCGUCCCGGAUAAGAUAAUUAUGUCGUGGAAACUGAUAAUGAUAGGUAUGCUUGCUGAUAGUUUACGUGAAAUUAAUUAAGAGCUACAAGCUUGCGAUGUGGCCUUUUACAUCAUGCACUGGAGCUUAAGGUAAAAGGGACUUGAAUGAAGACGGUUUAGAUAAUACUUACUUUUUUGGGAAGAAUUAGAAGGUACAAUGAAGUAAGGGGACACUUUUGAGCAGCCAAAAGGAUGAGCCAGUUAUCACCUGAACUCCUAAACCUGGGAGUUAAAUUAAAGGUAAAAAAUCUACAUACAACAGAAUUUACAGAACGAAUGACAGGCAGCUGACAGCAGAUUGUUCAAGGCAUAUGCAAUUUGCAGAGUAUGAAAGAUACGGCAACUGGAUUGGAUCAAUGAAAAUUGUGGCGGGCACUUGUUUGCUGUAAUUGCUAUUGGAUUCUUCAGUCAUGCACAUGCACUUAGGUAUCCAAAACAUGAUCUUGUGUAGUAACAUGGGCCAUGCGGUAGAUUAAGUCUUUCUGCGUGAUUGCGUACAUUUACUAAGGUAAAAGCUUAAAGGCCAGUUUAAGAAAUCGCAGCAGUUUUCUCUGGCAAAUUGCCAUAUGCUAGGUCUUAGGUUCACAACAUUCAAAAUUAUUUUUUUCUCCAGUUUCUGCUAAUUUCUUGCAGCUAACGAGAACCGUCCUAGUUAUUCUUUUCUUGGUUUCGUCUCCAAAACCACACGGGGCCAUGCUUUUUCUUUCCCCAACCUGAUGAUGCUCUUUUCUGUGCGUCCAAUUCGAAGGAAGGAAGGAAGGAAGAUUCAUGCGACAGCCAACGGUCAUUGUCUGUGGUUGUUGGACGUGUUGCACGUUUGACGCAAGGAGGAGGGAAAAAAGCAGUGAAGGAGGCAGGCAUACAUGGUACAGGACUAAUGACUUGUCCACUGACUUUGGGCAUUGACGCUCAAGUCUCACCCAUUGGAGUCAAGAAAGCAGCAUGAGUUGCUUGGUCCAUCAAAUUGCCCGGUGGGGUGGAAAGUGGAAAGUGGGAGUUGUGUGAGUCCUACUACUUAAUAGUGCAUAAUCAUUUUGUGCUUUGUAUGGCUAUAUCCCAUUACCUAGUUGCACAAAUUGAGAUGGUAUGCAAGCCAAGCCAACU